UGGCGAACGGGUGAGUAACACGUGGGGAAUCUGCCUAUAAGUGGGGGAUAACAUUCGGAAACGGAUGCUAAUACCGCAUAUAUUCAAAAACCGCAUGGUUUCUGAAAGAAAGACGGCUUUGCUGUCGCUUAUAGAUGAUCCCGCGGCGUAUUAGUUAGUUGGUGGGGUAAUGGCCUACCAAGACCAUGAUACGUAGCCGACCUGAGAGGGUGAUCGGCCACACUGGGACUGAGACACGGCCCAGACUCCUACGGGAGGCAGCAGUAGGGAAUCUUCCACAAUGGGUGCAAACCUGAUGGAGCAAUGCCGCGUGAAUGAAGAAGGUCUUCGGAUCGUAAAGUUCUGUUAUUAGAGAAGAACAAGUCAAGGAGUAACUGCCUUGACUUUGACGGUACCUAACCAGAAAGUCACGGCUAACUACGUGCCAGCAGCCGCGGUAAUACAGAGGUGACAAGCGUAGUCCGGAAUUAUUGGGCGUA
This 479-nucleotide ribosomal RNA is filed under the name uncultured bacterium. RNAcentral's name for it is "bacterial SSU rRNA". It matches the Rfam family "Bacterial small subunit ribosomal RNA", at positions 96 to 562 of the family's 1533-position model. The record is from RNAcentral.